This 543-nucleotide long non-coding RNA is filed under the name Pan troglodytes (chimpanzee). RNAcentral's name for it is "lincRNA". Lineage: Eukaryota; Metazoa; Chordata; Mammalia; Primates; Hominidae. The record is from RNAcentral.
AUAAGAAUAGAGAAAAUUCUGCAAAGUUCACAUUGGUUGAAGUCCAGUGGUAAAUAACGUAUCUACUCUAGACUGAUCAUUCUAAGGAGGAUUUUGUGCUGCUCUUGUUUUGCUGCUGGGCCUAUCCUGUUUCCAUUCCCAAAUCAAGUAUUCCUGGAAUUUAAGGUAUCACUUUACCAGCCUGACCACAAGUUCCCCAUUGUUUCCUCUGCUCUGCUCAUGCCCUGGAAUAAUGCCUCUCCCUGGAUACUAAAUUUACUGACCCUGCCUAGGACCCAGAGAAGAUUGAUGAGUCCUCAGCCUGUGCAUGUCUUCAAAAAGCCACCAACUGAUAGCUACAAAACUGCACUUCCUAGAGACAUGUUGAGAGAGGUUCAAGGCUCAACAGAACUUACGCUUUUGCUGUCAGAGCUCCACCACCAGAUAAGCACAACUGAGCGAAUGACACCAACCAGUGCCAAGAGAAGCAGGACUACCCAACUACACUUUGCCUAAAUUCCUGAUUCACAGAAUUAUAAGCAAAUAAAAUGAUUGUUUAAAGCA